CCCGUUGUACACACCGCCCGUCACACCAUGGAGUUGGUUUACCGUAAGCAGGUGCGCUAACCGCAAGGAGGCAGCCUACCACGGUAAGGUCAGCGACUGGGGUG
This 104-nucleotide ribosomal RNA is filed under the name uncultured bacterium. RNAcentral describes it as "partial 16S ribosomal RNA". It matches the Rfam family "Bacterial small subunit ribosomal RNA", at positions 1377 to 1482 of the family's 1533-position model. The record is from RNAcentral.